UACGUAGGGCGCAAGCGUUGUCCGGAAUUAUUGGGCGUAAAGAGCUCGUAGGCGGUUUGUCGUGUCUGCUGUGAAAACCUGAGGCUCAACCUCGGGCUUGCAGUGGGUACGGGCAGACUAGAGUGCGGUAGGGGUGACUGGAAUUCCUGGUGUAGCGGUGGAAUGCGCAGAUAUCAGGAGGAACACCGAGUGGCGAAGGCAGGUCACCUGGGCCG
RNAcentral lists this ribosomal RNA (215 nucleotides) under uncultured bacterium. Its description in RNAcentral is "partial 16S ribosomal RNA". It matches the Rfam family "Bacterial small subunit ribosomal RNA", at positions 524 to 736 of the family's 1533-position model. The record is from RNAcentral.